GAUCUGAAUCCACAGAUGCAACGGGAAACAGUGGUGUAAAGUCAGAGCCAGUAACUAUGUGUUUGGAAAUCCCUGCUAUGGGACCUACAAGUACCUGGAGGUGGAAUAUAUUUGUUACGUUGAAUGAAACGACCAUCAGAUCGCCUGUGCUGUGGAUGAAAUGCAUCAUAAUCAGUAACAUCCACAGACACUGUGGUCCACUGAUGUACAUACAAUUUCUCCUCAGUUUCUUUCACUUUCUCAACCAUUGUUUUUUUGUUUUUGUUUUUGUUUUUUAGAUUUUUUU
This is a long non-coding RNA of Poecilia latipinna (sailfin molly), 286 nucleotides long. RefSeq lists it as uncharacterized. Lineage: Eukaryota; Metazoa; Chordata; Actinopteri; Cyprinodontiformes; Poeciliidae. The transcript is spliced from 2 exons. The record is from RefSeq and is a predicted model, not a curated record.